UGCUGAGUUCAGUCUGCGCCAUUACCUCGCUUCAGCACUGGAUGUUCCUUGAAGACCGACAGUUAUACUUAAAAACGAUUUUACAAAAGGUUUUUGGUUUUCUGAAAAGGCCACAGGCAGCUACAUUGUGGAACUGGUCUUCCAUUGAAUGUGGACGUGCAAAGACUGUGGGACUUCUGUUUCACGAAGAUCAGAACUCCUUAAACAUUAUAAGCUUGAACAUGGACAUUAUGGACGUCGGCAAUCUUAUCCAUGCAUCCACUUUAACUGUCCGUGUACAUGCAAGACCUGGAAAGCCCUGUUGACCCAUUUGUCAAGACAUCAUAAGCCAUACUCACCAGCUGAACUGACCUUGUUUAAGUGUCCCUUAUGCAAUUGCAAUCAGUGUUUAACUUAAAAAGACUAUUUUCAGCAUCUAGCUCAGCAUCUGAAAAACAGUGAAACUGUUAUUUGUGUGUUUCAGGGGUGUUCAUACCAAACUAAUAUAUAUGGUUCUUUUCGAACUCACAGAAGCAGAAAUCAUAAAGGUUGUUCAGCAAAUAAUUUAAAGCCUGAAAUACUCCAGAAAAACAUUGGUCUUCCUUUUGAAAGUCAUUCCUGGGAUAGUACAAGUGGUCAUAGUGAACCUUCGUGUGACUUGCGUUCAGGGGAAUCAAGCGAGUCUAAUUUUGAUAGUCAGGAUUUAAAUGAGUUGCAACAAUACAUUGAGCUCAAAGUUGCCUCUCUGUUACUGAAGCUAGAAUAUGUUCAUCUUGUUUCUAGUGUGGCUGUUGAUGAACUUUUACAAGAUUUUGACUAUUUAUUAAGCAGUGCUUCUGUUCCUCUUACCCAUCAAACCAUAGUUCAUUACUUAGUAAGCAGUAAGCAUCAAGUUGACGGAGCAGUUCUGACAGAGUUAGCAUCUAGUCUUUGUAAGUCAAAUCCAGUUA
This is a long non-coding RNA of Melanotaenia boesemani (Boeseman's rainbowfish), 929 nucleotides long. RefSeq lists it as uncharacterized. NCBI's taxonomy places the organism in Eukaryota, Metazoa, Chordata, Actinopteri, Atheriniformes, Melanotaeniidae. The transcript has 4 exons. The record is from RefSeq and is a predicted model, not a curated record.